UCGACCCAAUCGGUGGGGAUAACGUAGACGUAAAGUUACGACUAAUACCGCAUACGAUCUACGGAUGAAAGCGGGGGAUCGCAAGACCUCGCGCGAAUGGAGCGGCCGAUGUCAGAUUAGGUAGUUGGUGGGGUAAAGGCUCACCAAGCCGACGAUCUGUAGCUGGUCUGAGAGGACGACCAGCCACACUGGGACUGAGACACGGCCCAGACUCCUACGGGAGGCAGCAGUGGGGAAUUUUGGACAAUGGGCGCAAGCCUGAUCCAGCCAUUCCGCGUGCAGGAUGAAGGCCUUCGGGUUGUAAACUGCUUUUGUACGGAACGAAACGGUUCUCUCUAAUACAGGGGGCUAAUGACGGUACCGUAAGAAUAAGCACCGGCUAACUACGUG
RNAcentral lists this ribosomal RNA (390 nucleotides) under uncultured bacterium. Its description in RNAcentral is "bacterial SSU rRNA". It matches the Rfam family "Bacterial small subunit ribosomal RNA", at positions 124 to 507 of the family's 1533-position model. The record is from RNAcentral.